GAUGAAGAACGUAGUGAAAUGCGAUAAGUAAUGUGAAUUGCAGAAUUCAGUGAAUCAUCGAAUCUUUGAACGCACAUUGCGCCCCCUGGUAUUCCGGGGGGCAUGCCUGUCCGAGCGUCAUUACAACCCUCAAGCUCAGCUUGGUGUUGGGCCCCGCCGCCCCGGCGGGCCCUAAAGUCAGUGGCGGUGCCGUCCGGCUCCGAGCGUAGUAAUUCUUCUCGCUGUUGAGCUCCGGUGGUCGCCCGCCAGCAACCCCCAACUUUUACAGUUUGACCUGGGAUGAGGUAGGGAUACCCGCUGAACUUAAGCAUAUCAAUAAGCGGAGGA
RNAcentral lists this unclassified non-coding RNA (327 nucleotides) under soil metagenome. Its description in RNAcentral is "partial contains 5.8S ribosomal RNA, internal transcribed spacer 2, and large subunit ribosomal RNA". The stretch from base 1 to 120 matches the Rfam family "5.8S ribosomal RNA", at positions 35 to 154 of the family's 154-position model. The record is from RNAcentral.